GCCCAGUGUAUUAUGUUUGCUAGCCUAGGAAAGUUAUAUAUAACUCAUGUAAAGGACACCUUUUGAUUAAGCAAGAUCAAUCUAUUCUGACCGGCUCCUAGAAGGAGCCGGUGCCCUAACCCUAGCGUCCGAGCUCUCUCUCCUAACCACGGCGCCCUAGCGUCGUCGCCCGCCUCUUUUGCCUCGCCAACCCUCCCCGCACCCAUAUCACUUGAGAGAUCGGCCUGGUAGGCAUUGGAAUCCUACCAAUUUGGUAUCAGAUUGCCCCGGCUUGAUCAUGUCGACACCCCACCCACCCCAGCCUUUCGUCGGCUACCAGCCUAUCACCCGUUUGUUGCUGGCCUCCUCGGUCGCCGCAUCGGGCCGCCUACUACGACCGCCAGGCCCCCGCCGAACCCGACCGGUCUCGUCCUCUCCCCUGCGGAGAUGACAUCUGCGCUCUUGGAGCUCGGCCACGUCGUCGUGGGCAUCCGCGCGCUGCUCGUGGGGCCUUACGCGCAGCAGCCGGCUGCUGCGUUCUUCCCCACCAUCGCGCCGCCUCCAUUCCCCUCGGCCGCGCCGCACCAGGGCACCACCUCGCAGUCAAGCGGGCCACCGCCACUUCCGGGCGCGCCAUCCAGGCGGUGCGGUUUCAGCCGUCACCAUCUCCGCUGCCGGCGUGGCUAACCAAGCCGGUCUACACGGUUGGGUCGGGUCAGCCCUCCUUCCCACCGCCGGCCGCGGUGCAGCCGGCAGGGCCACUCGCGGGUUCCUCGGGGACGGUGGGUCCCUACACCAGCGUGGACGGACCCUUGUUCCACAGCGGGAUGCUGCAGCCCGCCCUCCCGGUUCCGUCAUCAACAAUGUUCCGCACCGUGGAGCCACCGAUAGCCGCCAGCUACGGCCACCACCCGUCACGUUUCUUCAAGUUGGAGUUCGCCACCUACGAUGGGUCCGGGGACCCCCUGAAUUGGCUCAACCAGUGCGACCCGUUUUUCAGUGGGCAACGCACGCUUGCGUCCGACCGCACCUUGAUCGCCUCGUACCACCUUCGCGGCACCACCCAGACGUGGUACUACACCCUCGAACACGACGAGCGCGGGAUGUCGUCGUGGGAACAUUUUCACGACCUCUACCUCCUCCGGUUCGGUCUACCCGUCCACGAUAGCCGAAUGGCGGAACUUGGAUGCCUUCCGUUCCUCUCCUCGGUGUAGGAUUUUGCCGACCGCUUCCAUGCGUUGGUCUGCCAUGCUCCUGGCGUCUCGGCCCUCCAACGGUCCGAGCUCUUUGUCGGCGGCCUUCACCACCAUAUCCGCAUGGACGUCAAGAUGUGGGGACCGCAUGACCUCCAGACGGCCAUGUACUAUGCCCGUGUGUUCGAGCAACGGGCGGUGGCCAUGCAACAGGCGUUCCCGGCCCGGGCACCUCGCCCACCCCCUCGACCGGCCAUGUCUACAGCUAGCCGGCCGGCCCAGCUGGCGCCAGGGACUCCCGCCAGGGCAAUGACUCAGCCGUUCCGCCGGCUCAUCCUGGCCGAACAACUCGAGCGUCACCGACAGGGGUUAUGCUUCAACUGCGACGAGCUCUACGUGCCAGGUCACGUCUGCCCGCGCCUCUUCUACCUGGAGGCGGACGACUACAUCGAGAAGGAAACAACUUCCCCCGAGCUUGCCGAGGCGACUGCCCCGGCAUCAGCCACCGCCCACGUGGUCUCCCUCCAUGCCCUUGCCGGCAUACAAGUGAAGAAAAUGAUGCUACUGCCAGUGACGGUUAAUGGGGAGCGCCUCCUAGCUCUACUGGACAUGGGCUCUACACACAACUUCCUGUCCGAGUCUACUAUACGUCGCCUGGCCCUUCAGCCAACGGGCGGCGAGCAGCCCGAGUUACCGUAGCUAAUGAUGACCGUCUCCGCUGCCACGGAAUUGCACAACAGGUUCCCAUCAUCAUCGGCGACGAGCACUUCGCCAUCACGUGCGUCGGCAUCGACUUGGGCUGCCUCGACUUCAUCCUCGGCUUCGACUUCUUGCAGACGCUCGGACCCAUCGUUUGGGACUUCGACACACUGACCAUGACUUUUUGGCGUCAGGGGCGUGAAGUGCAGUGGAAGGGCGAGGGUGGCACUUCUCCAGCAGUUCCCGCCCAGUUGUUGACCGUCGUGGCCGACUCCGAGCCGCCCGUCUUGACUCAUCUCCUACAGCAGCACAACGACCUUUUCGACGAGCCUCAGGGUCUUCCGCCCACCCGGGUGUGCGACCAUCGCGUUCACCUUCUCCCGGGGAUAGCACCGGUCGUUGUACGACCAUACCGCUAGCCACAGCUGCAGAAGGACGAGCUGGAACGGCAGUGCGCGCUUAUGCUUGCCUUGGGCAUCAUCCAGAUUUCUACUUCGCCGUUCUCGGCCCCAGUGCUCCUUGUUCACAAGCCCGACGACUCGAGGCGUUUCUUGCACCGAUUACCGUGCUCUCAAUACCAAGACGUCGACGGAAAAUUUCCUAUACCGGUCGUGGAGGAGCUCCUGGACGAGCUGCAUGGGGCACGCUUCUUCACUAACUCGACUUGCGUUCUCACUAUCAUCAGGUUCGGAUGCACCCGGACGACAUUGCGAAGACGACCUUCCGCACCCAUCAUGGCCACUUCGAGUUUUUGGUGAUGCCCUUCGGUCUCUAUAAUGCGUCGGCAACAUUCCACGCCUUGAUGAACGACGUCCUUCGGCCCUACUUGCAACGGUUUGUGCUCGUUUUCUUUGAUGAUAUUCUCAUCUACAACUCCUCGUGGGCAGAGCACUUGCAACACGUCGCCACCAUCUUCAACGAGCUUCGAGCGCAUCAACUCCACCUCAAGCGCCCGAAGUGCUCGUUUGGCACGCCAUCCGUCGCAUAUUUCGGCCACGUCAUUUCAGCGGAGGGAGUUGCCAUGGAUGCCCAUAAGAUCACAGCAGUCAUGUCUCAGCCGACACCGCAUUCACCGCGGGCCCUCCGCGGGUUCUUAGGUCUAGCCGGAUGCUACCGGAAGUUUAUCCGGGUGUUCGGCCUUCUCGCUGCACCACUCACACGACUGCUGCGCCGUGACGCCUUCUCCUGGGAUGAGGAGGUAGCUACCACCUUCCAGUCGCUCAAGGCGACUCUUCCCACAGGGCCGAUCCUUCAGAUGCCGGAUUUUGAGCAACAUUUCAUGGUUGACGGCCGCGGAUGCUCAACUUCUUCGGCAGCGGCUUGCGGAGGGAGAUUUACCGGUGUCAUGGCGACUGAAUGAUGGAUUACUCCUCCACGGUCGACGACUCUUUGUGCCCGAGCAUGGCGGUCUCCGUCACUAGGCUCUUCGGUUGGCUCACUUAGCCGACCAUGAGGGGGUGCAGAAAACUCUCCACCGCCUGUGUGCCGACUUCUAUCUGCCCGGAGACCGAGCUUUGGUGCGUGACUGGGUGUGUUCUUGUGUGACGUGCCAACGCAACAAGACACAAACGUUGCAGUCGGCCGACCUCCUACAUCCCCUUGCGGUGCCUUCGCAGGUGUGGGCCGACAUCUCCAUGGAUUUUAUCAAGGGACUUCCUAAGGCUUUGUUUGGUAGAAGUAGAUUGGGAAGGUUUGGGGAGGAGGGGAUUUGAGGGGAUUUGGUGAAUCCCUUCCUUGCACCCAAUCCUCUCAAAUCCUCGGGGUUUUGCUUCCACCACUCCCUCGAGGAGGAUCCUGAAACACAUGGAUAGGAAGGGAUUGAAGGGGAUCGGAGGGGAUUCGACUAAGCAAACCCCUCUUACCAAAUGAGCGCCCGAGGUUCUGUGGGGUUUCUGACCCUCCCGGGGAUUUUCCUGUGGAAACCUCCUGAAUCCCUCCGUGGAAAACGAGGCCUAAGGUGGGCGGCAAGUCCGUCAUCCUUACGGUGGUGGACCUUUCUCCAAGUAUGCACACUUUAUCGCGCUGGGUCAUCCCUACACCGCCACUUCCGUGGCCCGGGCUUUCUUCGACGACAUCGUCAGCCUUCACGGGUUUCCUUCUUCGAUCGUCAGCGACCGUGAUCCGGUGUUCGCUGGCCAUGUUUGGCGGGAUCUUUUCCGGUUGGCAGGCGUCCAGUUGCGCUUGAGCACGGCUUUUCAUCCCCAGACCGACGGACAAUCAGAGGUCGUCAAUAAGGUGAUUGUUAUGUACUUACGUUGCAUUACAGGUGAUCGACCAAGAGCUUGGGUGGAUUGUCUCUCGUGGGCGGAAUACUGCUACAACACUUCAUACCACUCCGCCAUGCAUGCCACCCCCUUUGAGGUCGUCUACGGUCGGCCUCCUCCAGCCAUCCUGCCUUUCCAGCCACGAACGACGCGAACUAAGGCGGCAGAAGUACUUCUACGAGACCGCGAUGUCAUCCUUGCUGACGUGCGACAACGUCUUCUUCAGGCACAUCAGCUGUCCAAGAAGUACUAUGAUGCUCACCACCGCGAGGCCGAGUUUGCCGUGGGUGAUUGGGUGUGGCUGCGUAUUCUCCAUCGUUCUACGCAGUCACUUGAUCCUCUCGCUAUGCGGGACCCUUUCACGUGUUGGAACGCAUCGACAGUGUCGCCUACCGCCUUCAGCUGCCCCCUGGAGCUCGUCUCCACGAUGUCUUUCAUGUAGGCUUAUUGAAGCCUUUCCAUGGGGAGCCGCCGGCGGCCGGACCAGAUCUUCCGCCGACUUCAGAUGGGCGCUUACUUCCUGAUCCAGCCAAGGUGUUGAAGGUUCACAAAAGUGGUGGUGUACGGCGUCUCUUGAUCCAGUGACAAGGUCUUUCGGAAGAGGAUGCUACUUGGGAGACCUUUGAGGAGUUCCGCAAACAUUUUCCACACUUCCAGCUCGAGGACGAGCUGUUUGCGCACGCAGGGAGAGAUGUUAUGACUGGUUUAUAUUACAACCGGAGAAGGCCCACUUAAAUAGAGUUGGCCAAGUUAUCUUAUAGUAUUAGGGGCUUAGAACAAUUUAUUAUGUUUGCUGGUCUAGGAAAGUUAUAUAUACUCAUGUAAAGGACACCUUUUGAUUAAGCAAGAUCAAUCUAUUCUGAUCGGCUCCUAGAAGAAGCCGGUGCCCUAACCCUAGCGUCCGAGCUCUCUCUCCCAGCCAUGGCGCCCCAGCGCCGUCGCCCGCCUCUUCCGCCUUGUCAACCCUCCCAACACCCAUGUCGCCUGCGAUAUCGGCCUG
This 5135-nucleotide long non-coding RNA is filed under the name Hordeum vulgare. RNAcentral's name for it is "long non-coding RNA (HVUL_LNC019374)". Lineage: Eukaryota; Viridiplantae; Streptophyta; Magnoliopsida; Poales; Poaceae. The record is from RNAcentral.